CCUACGGGGGGCAGCAGUGGGGAAUAUUGCGCAAUGGGGGCAACCCUGACGCAGCAACGCCGCGUGAUUGAAGACGGCCUUCGGGUUGUAAAGAUCUUUAAUCAGGGACGAAAAAUGACGGUACCUGAAGAAUAAGCUCCGGCUAACUACGUGCCAGCAGCCGCGGUAAUAAGUAGGGAGCAAGCGUUAUCCGGAUUUACUGGGUGUAAAGGGCGUGUAGGCGGGCUUGUAAGUCAGAAGUGAAAUCUGGGGGAUUAACCCCCAAACUGCUUUUGAAAUUGCGGGUCUUGAGUGAUGGAGAGGCAGGCGGAAUUCCCAGUGUAGCGGUGAAAUGCGUAGAUAUUGGGAGGAACACCAGUGGCGAAGGCGGCCUGCUGGACAUUAACUGACGCUGAGGCGCGAAAGCGUGGGGAGCAAACAGGAUUAGAUACCCUGGUAGUC
This 441-nucleotide ribosomal RNA is filed under the name uncultured bacterium. RNAcentral describes it as "partial 16S ribosomal RNA". It matches the Rfam family "Bacterial small subunit ribosomal RNA", at positions 338 to 795 of the family's 1533-position model. The record is from RNAcentral.